GACGAACGCUGGCGGCGUGCCUAAUACAUGCAAGUUGAGCGCUGAAGGUUGGUACUUGUCCCGACUGGAUGAGCAGCGAACGGGUGAGUAACGCGUGGGGAAUCUGCCUUUGAGCGGGGGACAACAUUUGGAAACGAAUGCUAAUACCGCAUAAAAACUUUAAACACAAGUUUUAAGUUUGAAAGAUGCAAUUGCAUCACUCAAAGAUGAUCCCGCGUUGUAUUAGCUAGUUGGUGAGGUAAAGGCUCACCAAGGCGAUGAUACAUAGCCGACCUGAGAGGGUGAGCGGCCACAUUGGGACUGAGACACGGCCCAAACUCCUACGGGAGGCAGCAGUAGGGAAUCUUCGGCAAUGGACGAAAGUCUGACCGAGCAACGCCGCGUGAGUGAAGAAGGGUUUCGGAUCGUAAAACUCUGUUGGUAGAGAAGAACGUUGGUGAGAGUGGAAAGCUCAUCAAGUGACGGUAACUACCCAGAAAGGGACGGCUAACUACGUG
Molecule: ribosomal RNA, 497 nt
Filed under: uncultured bacterium
Lineage: Bacteria
Description: partial 16S ribosomal RNA
Rfam family: Bacterial small subunit ribosomal RNA
Source: RNAcentral